This 253-nucleotide ribosomal RNA is filed under the name uncultured bacterium. Its description in RNAcentral is "partial 16S ribosomal RNA". It matches the Rfam family "Bacterial small subunit ribosomal RNA", at positions 524 to 776 of the family's 1533-position model. The record is from RNAcentral.
UACGGAGGGUGCGAGCGUUGUCCGGAAUCACUGGGCGUAAAGGGCGCGUAGGUGGCGCGGAAAGUCAACGGUGAAAGCUUGGGGCUCAACCCCGAGUCGGCCGUCGAUACUUCUGGGCUUGAGCACUGUAGAGGCAGAUGGAAUUCCGGGUGUAGCGGUGGAAUGCGUAGAGAUCCGGAAGAACACCGGUGGCGAAGGCGGUCUGCUGGGCAGUAGCUGACACUGAUGCGCGACAGCGUGGGGAGCAAACAGG